This 445-nucleotide ribosomal RNA is filed under the name uncultured bacterium. RNAcentral's name for it is "partial 16S rRNA". It matches the Rfam family "Bacterial small subunit ribosomal RNA", at positions 339 to 801 of the family's 1533-position model. The record is from RNAcentral.
CUACGGGAUGCAGCAGUGGGNAAUAUUGCACAAUGGGCGCAAGCCUGAUCCACCCAUGCCGCGUGAGUGNUGUAGGCCCUAGGGUUGUAAAGCUCUUUCNCCGGUGAAGAUAAUGACGGUANCCGGAGAAGAAGCCCCGGCUANCUUCGUGCCAGCAGCCGCGGUAAUACGAAGGGGGCUAGCGUUGUUCGGAUUUACUGGGCGUAAAGCGCACGUAGGCGGNCUUUUAAGUCAGGGGUGAAAUCCCGGGGCUCAACCCCGGAACUGCCUUUGAUACUGGAAGUCUUGAGUAUGGUAGAGGUGAGUGGAAUUCCGAGUGUAGAGGUGAAAUUCGUAGAUAUUCGGAGGAACACCAGUGGCGAAGGCGGCUCACUGGACCAUUACUGACGCUGAGGUGCGAAAGCGUGGGGAGCAAACAGGAUUAGUUANCCUGAUAGUNNACGCC